CCUUCUUUUCUUGGUGGGGGUCAAAUGGUGUGUGGUCCCUGCCCCCAUUAUGUAUUGAGGCAGAGAGAAAGGGCUCCAGCCCCCUUCCACACCAUGUCUUUGGUACCCACGGCUUUCAGUCCACCAGUUAUAUCCUCAAGCAUCAGGACAUGG
Small nucleolar RNA from Zalophus californianus (California sea lion), 153 nucleotides. Ensembl annotates it as small nucleolar RNA SNORA57. The record is from Ensembl. Lineage: Eukaryota; Metazoa; Chordata; Mammalia; Carnivora; Otariidae.